Long non-coding RNA from Bactrocera tryoni, 630 nucleotides. RefSeq lists it as uncharacterized. The record is from RefSeq and is a predicted model, not a curated record. The transcript has 2 exons. NCBI's taxonomy places the organism in Eukaryota, Metazoa, Arthropoda, Insecta, Diptera, Tephritidae.
UAUUCUUAGCACCGAAAAGUUAUGUUUUUUGUAGUGAAAUGUACUCAAUAUAUGUAAAUUAAAGCAAGGCACGAAGUGUGAACUUCACACCAUUAUGUCAAUUUGUAAGUAUUAAAGCCGAGUGGAACGUUUGGAGGCGCAUACAAACCUUGUUGAAAGAUAAUAUUGGUAUGCAUCUAAGCAAUAUCUAAUAGCAAUAUCGCAAAACAGCUGCUCAUUUUUACAUGUACUUUAUUUUGCGACAAAGUUGAAACUACGCGAGACUAUUUCCAGUUUUCGUUUCUUCGCUGUAAAAUGAAAACAAUCACGGAUAAAUGAAGAACAGCUGCCUUAUUGCAAUAAUGCUACCCUUUUAUACAAAUACCACAUUAAAUAGUACCCUUAAUGUAUUUGGUAUGUUGUUACUUUAAAAUGCAUGUUUACUCUAGCUUAUUGAUAAUGUGGUAUAAAGCCAAAUUUAAAUUAAUUUUUGAGUUUUUUUAAUAGUAUUGGGUUAAUAUGUAACUAUUAAUUGGAAUGAUUUUCUGGGUUGUAACUGGCAUAGAGUUGAAACAUUUCACAACUCAGCUACCUCUUAAGAUUUAAAAUAAUUAAAAUGGAAAAUUAACACAAGUAAUAUACAGAAGCCGA